GGGUCGAUGCCCGAGGGGUUAAUGGGGACGGACUGUAAAUUCGUUGACGAUAUGUCUACGCUGGUUCAAAUCCAGCUCGGCCCA
RNAcentral lists this transfer RNA (84 nucleotides) under Carex heleonastes. Its description in RNAcentral is "tRNA-Tyr". It matches the Rfam family "tRNA". From Rfam's summary of the family: Transfer RNA (tRNA) molecules are approximately 80 nucleotides in length. Their secondary structure includes four short double-helical elements and three loops (D, anti-codon, and T loops). Further hydrogen bonds mediate the characteristic L-shaped molecular structure. tRNAs have two regions of fundamental functional importance: the anti-codon, which is responsible for specific mRNA codon recognition, and the 3' end, to which the tRNAs corresponding amino acid is attached (by aminoacyl-tRNA synthetases). tRNAs cope with the degeneracy of the genetic code in two manners: having more than one tRNA (with a specific anti-codon) for a particular amino acid; and 'wobble' base-pairing, i.e. permitting non-standard base-pairing at the 3rd anti-codon position. RNAcentral also lists the same sequence under 4 other names. Lineage: Eukaryota; Viridiplantae; Streptophyta; Magnoliopsida; Poales; Cyperaceae. The record is from RNAcentral.